RNAcentral lists this ribosomal RNA (437 nucleotides) under uncultured bacterium. Its description in RNAcentral is "bacterial SSU rRNA". It matches the Rfam family "Bacterial small subunit ribosomal RNA", at positions 340 to 773 of the family's 1533-position model. The record is from RNAcentral.
UACGGGAGGCAGCAGUGGGGAAUAUUGCACAAUGGGCGCAAGCCUGAUGCAGCCAUGCCGCGUGUAUGAAGAAGGCCUUCGGGUUGUAAAGUACUUUCAGUCGUGAGGAAGGUGUUAAGGUUAAUAACCUUAGCAUUGACGUUAGCGACAGAAGAAGCACCGGCUAACUCCGUGCCAGCAGCCGCGGUAAUACGGAGGGUGCGAGCGUUAAUCGGAAUUACUGGGCGUAAAGGGCACGCAGGCGGUUAAUUAAGUUGGAUGUGAAAUCCCCGGGCUUAACCUGGGAAUGGCAUUCAAGCUGGUUAGCUAGAGUCUUGUAGAGGGGGUAGAAUUCCAUGUGUAGCGGUGAAAUGCGUAGAGAUGUGGAGGAAUACCGGUGGCGAAGGCGGCCCCUGGACAAAGACUGACGCUCAUGUGCGAAAGCGUGGGGAGCAAAC